Myiozetetes cayanensis is the source of this 268-nucleotide long non-coding RNA. RefSeq lists it as uncharacterized. The record is from RefSeq and is a predicted model, not a curated record. NCBI's taxonomy places the organism in Eukaryota, Metazoa, Chordata, Aves, Passeriformes, Tyrannidae. The transcript is spliced from 3 exons.
AGCUGUGCAUGAGCAAGAGAGUGCACGGCUCCCAGCAGUCCUGGACCUCAAGAGCCUCCGCCUCGACCCAGACCUGGUGGCUCAGAGCAUCGACGUGGUGCUGAGCCAGCGCAGCUGCAUGGCCGUGGUGCUGAGGAUCAUCGAGGAGAACAUCCCUGAGUUGCAGUCUCUCACCCUGGGCAGUAACAAGCUGUACCGCCUGGACGAUUUGGCCGACCUGGCCCUCAAAGCCCCCGGGCUCAAAGUGCUCGACCUGUCCCGAAGCGAG